Molecule: ribosomal RNA, 162 nt
Filed under: uncultured bacterium
Lineage: Bacteria
Description: partial 16S rRNA
Rfam family: Bacterial small subunit ribosomal RNA
Source: RNAcentral
UAGGGAAUCUUCCACAAUGGACGAAAGUCUGAUGGAGCAACGCCGCGUGAGUGAAGAAGGGUUUCGGCUCGUAAAACUCUGUUGUUAAAGAAGAACAUAUCUGAGAGUAACUGUUCAGGUAUUGACGGUAUUACCAGAAAGCCACGGCUAACUACGUGCCAC